Molecule: long non-coding RNA, 7274 nt
Filed under: Sus scrofa (pig)
Lineage: Eukaryota; Metazoa; Chordata; Mammalia; Artiodactyla; Suidae
Description: lncRNA (ENSSSCG00005024937.1)
Source: RNAcentral
UUUUUUUUUUUUUUUUUUUUGGUCUUUUCUAGGGCCGCUCCCAUGGCAUAUGGAGGUUCCCAGGCUAGGGGUCUAAUCGGAGCUGUAGCUGCCAAGCCUAUGCCACAGCCACAGCCACACAGGAUCUGAGCCGCAUCUGCAACCUACACCACGGUUCACGGCAACGCCGGAUCCUUAGCCCACUGAGCAAGGCCAGGGAUCGAACCCGCAACCUCAUGGUUCCUAGUCGGAUUCGUUAACCACUGAGCCACGACGGAAACUCCAUAAAUGUUAUAUAUACUCUUAACGGUUAAACUAAAGGGCAAUCAACACAACAUGGUCCCCUAUAACCUUAAAUCAUCCAAUCACAAGAAAUCACUCCCCUCAAAAAAAAAAAAAAACAACUUGUAUUUUAAGCUCUGAAGAUGACUACUUCAACAUAUGUGCAGGAAUAAAGCAAUUCAUUCCAAUUUGACCCAGUCAACCAAGCCAGACACCUCCUGUUUCAUUUAUGUUCUCACUGCCAGGAAGCAAAGGAAUGUAGCUGGACAUGAAGCAGGCUCUGCAACCCUAAACAUAUAUAAACUCCACAAUACCUGGGACCACAGGGAAACAGCUAAUCAACUGACCCAAUAAAGCACUAUUCCUAUGUGUUUUUUCUUAAAGAGGAUUUCUGGCUGGCUCUCCUUAAAAUACACUAGAUUGAAAUCUGACUGCAACCUACGAUUAAUGGUAUCUUGGUAUUUUCCUUUCUUAGUGAUAUACAAACAACGGUGCAUCUGACAACUCUCGGCAUCUCAGAAUGGGUUACCCUGGGCAGGUUACUAGGUUGAAUCACAACAAUAAGCUUCUCAAGUUCCUGUCGUGGCUCAGUGGUAACGAACCCGACUAGGAUCUAUGAGGAUAAGGGUUCGAUCCCUGGCCUCGCUCAGUGGGUUAAGGAUCCAGCGUUGCCAUGAGGUAUCAUGUAGGUCGCAGAUGCAGCUCAGAUCCCUCGUUGCUGUGGCUCUGGUGUAGACCAGCAGCUACAUCUCUGAUUGGACCCCUAGCCUGGGAACUUCCAAUGCUGAGGGUGUGGCCCUAAAAACCAAAAAAAUUUUUUUAAAUAAAAAUAACAAUAAGCUUCUCAAGGCCUCUGUCUCCUCAUAUGGAAAAUGGCAGUAACGACUUGAUCUGAUAUGAGUGUGAUUAUAAUGUUAAAUUAUUAACAGACAUAAAGUGUUCAAACCAGCCUGGCACAUAGCAAGCACUACACUGACCUGACACUGACAGAUCAUUCCUUCCAGGGUUUUGUUUUUGAUUAAGUUGUAUCUCUCCAUCAACACACUCACCCUCUCCCCCAUAAUCAGGGACAAAUCCAUAAGAUGGCCAAAUUUGGUUUUAUUAUACAGCACGUCAACUUUUAUAGGAAACUAACUGACCGUUAUGGAAAGUAAAGCUAUAUAACUUUAACCCCUCACUAGUGUGCUGUUACAACUACAUGCUGGGCAGAAAUUAAAUCAGAGCUUUUCAAGUCAUCUGGCACUGUAAUUUAGGUCAAUCGGUUACUAGUACACCAAAUGAACUAAAUAAAGCUGAAACAUAAUUUAAGAAAAGAGAUGUGUCAAUUAUCAGCGACAUUCAUCUUAGAAACUGGGAGUUCUAAUGACAAACAUUAUAGGAGCUAUGUAGCAAGAUCAGUCUCUGAGCAGAAAUAUAUCCCACCAGGGGUAUAUUUUAUUCCUUCCUGAUGAAAGAAAAUCAAUCCCCCACAUUAUAGAGAAAACAAAAAACUCUAUACAUAUGCAACCCUAACAAAGGAUCAGUGUCCAAAUACAUAAAGAACUCACACAAGUCAUUAAGAAAAAGAACCUUAUGUAAAGUUACAGAAAAACAGCGAAAGAUAUAUUCACAGGAAGAACCCAAGUAGCCAAAAAACAUAUAAAAACACACUUAACCUCACCAGUAAUUAGAAAAAUGCCAAGGUAGACCACAGAAAGACAACACUGCAGAAAGUUAAGAAAUCUGGGAGUUUCCUGGUGGUCUAGUGGUUAGGACUCAGUGCUUUCACCAGUCUGGGAAGGAAGAAAGGAAAGGAAGGAGCGGGGGAGGGAGGGAAGAGAAGUGAAUAAAUCUAACACAUAGUGAAAACUGGGUGAAAAAAGGAACUUGUGCCUUAUGAGUGGCGAAGUACUUGUCUGGAAAACAUCAAAGCAAAUGAAUAUGCACAAAUAAUCCCAUUUACAAAAAGGACUUUGACAAUAACAAAACACUGCUUAUCAUGCAUAAGUAUGUACUGAAGUAGGAAAGCAUGCACAGGCCUUGAGAGCGGCCGCUCAGAUUUCCCUUCAAGAGAGAAAGAGCCAAGAGGAGUGGAAUUAGCUGACAGCCCCAGCUGCCCAGCACCUCUGCGAUCCACUGCGGCAUUCGAACCAAUGCCAGGCCAAGACUGAACACCACAGGCGUUCUAGAACAGGGCUCUCCUGCCCAAUGCACCCUAACAAACGACACCUUCACCCCAAGCCGCACAGCAAUCUCAGGCGUCUGGAUCCAAUCACCACCCUUCCUUCCGUUUUCCUUCGUAGGCGCCCACCUCCAUCCAUCCUGAACACUCUGCCACCCGACCUGCUUCCUCUCCUCUUUAUCCCUCAUAGGCACGUACCCCAGGGAACUCCUGCACAACUAACUCUAUAGGUAGGAAGCAAACUAUCACAGGAAUAACAUCAAUCACCUUCCAAUUACAGAAGGCAGGACUGGAAGAAUUAGCCUUUCCCUGCACCUGAAGCAAGUAUGUCCUAAUAUUAACAGUGUUUACACCUGAAAUUAAUACAACACUGUCAAUCAACUAUACGCUGACAAUGUUUUUUACAAAAGCCAAACCAUAGUGUUUAAUCACCGUGGUGGGUAUAUGACUAUAGGUAUUAUUUUAUUUUCUAUGCGAAUGGGUUUUCUUAAUAACUCUAUCUUCACAAUUCUACUAUCCUACCUUACCAUAAUUUGCAAAAGCAUUCAAACUAUCUACUCACUUCAAUUUUAGAAAUGUAACUCUUACCUCUGGUUCUAAAAUUAUGCACACAUAUGACUCUUCCCAAUCACCGCACCAGUAACAAGGCUCUAAAACAAGAAGAGUUGGAAGUUUGGUUCCAGAGGCCUCAAGUCUACCUGGAGAUACUUUCAAUAACUGAAAGACAAAUUCAGGUCACUCUGUCUCGCUCGACCAUACGUUCUUCAUCAAGAACUCAGGAAGGCGGGACUGGAUGGACACUACAACCUUCUCUCUCAAUACUACAAUAGAGGGAAAACACAGAAAUUUCAAAGUAUCACCCCUACUGCGCAAUUUUUACUGAGUCCAUGUCUUUAAAGAAUUUGACCAAUUUGAAAAAAAAAAGAAUUUUUAGGGUUUAAUGUCAUUUCAUUUUAAUGUUAUUUUAAAUUACUUAUUUCUUCAAACAUUUUGGCAAAACACUCUUCAUCACCUUAAACCACUUUUUUUUUUUUUUUUUUUCCACAUUCACGGCAUAUGGAAGUUUCCAGGCCAGCCCACGGCAUGUGGAAGUCCCUAGGCUAGGGUCCAAUCAGAGCUACAGCUGCCGACCUACACCACAGCAACGCAGGAUCUGAGCCUCGUCUGCAACCUACACCACAGCCACAGCCACAGCCACGCCGGAUCCUUAACCCACUGAGCGAGCCUGGGAACUUCCAUAUGCUGCAGAUGCAGCCAUUAAAAAAAAAAAAAAAAUCAACAACAGAAAACAUAAAACUCAACCAGAAGUUAGAUAUAUAUAUAUUAAUAAAAUUUCCAGAACACAAAACAUAAAAUAUUAGAACUACAACUUGUAUGUCUUAUUUCUAGGAUCACAAAUAUUUUCUACAACUGCUAAUUAAAGCUGUAGGAAUUAACUCAAUCCAAAUCACUGACUCAACAUUCAAUCCCAAUUCCACCUUAUUCAAACUUUCACUGUGCUGCUACAGAGAUUCUCUAUAGGAAAAAUGAUUUCAAGUUCUCUAUCCUAAAUAUAAAUACCAACUUAACACACACUCCUUAGCAAAGAUCACUGUUUUCCAUUAGAGUAAAGGGACAAAGUGAAACCUUACUUCUUAGGUCUACAUUAUGCACAGGACCUCUAAAGAAAGGCUCAGAAAUGAGGGCUAAAUUAUACAUCGAUUACAAUAAUUUAUGUAGCAGAGAGUAAAAUUUAAAAAAUGAGUUCCCUGAUAGCCUAGCAGUUAAGGAUCCAGCACUGUCACUGCUGUGAUCUGAACAGGUUUACCUAUUCUCUCUGGAUCUCAGUGUACUUUUCUGCUAUAUAAACGUUUUGGACUAUUUCUCUCUUUUCCAGGAAAACUGCAGCAGGUACAUACAACUUAAAAACAAUCAUUUUUAAAUAUCUCAGUGCAUGAUUUGCAUUCAAACGUUACAAUCCAGUAAAGCAGGCAACGCAAGGACCACUGCUUGGCAACCUAAGUCCCACGAAUGCUAAUUAGAAUAAAACAGCAAAAAUGUUUAUUUAGCAUUCACCGUGUGCCAGACACUGUGCUGGACAUUUCCCGUGUAUUAGCUCAGUUAACUCCUUCUCUUAGAGAGAUCUAUUACCUCUAUUUCACAGAUGAAAGCAAAAAUAACUUGCCCAGGGACAACACAGCUGUCAGGAAGCACUACCAAGAUCUGAACUCAGGUUUGACAAUUCUCACAGACCAAGCUCUCACAAGUCUCCUCUAUCCUGCUUCUGAAAGAAACCUGAAAUUAAAAAGAUGACUCUAACUGACAUAAUCACAGGCCAUACGUGAUGAAAAGAACUCUGAUUCACGAGGGAGGAAACUGAGGCUCCCGAGAUAAAAUGACUAGCUCUACCUUCAACAACCUUCUUAAUCACAGAGACAGGGCUUUCAACCUCCUGACACCAGCUUUAGGUGUCUCCCAGCACACGGCUUCACGCAGUUAUCACACACAGCAUUUACCGUUCUCCUGACCUCUCAUUUGGGUGAACGCCGCCCCAAAGUAGGCCUGCAUCACAACACAUCCACCGAAACGUAUGAAUUUUAGGGUAUCUAUAAAACUGAUUUUUACAAAAAAAUUAAAGCAUAGCAAACUAUGUGUUUAAAGAGGAACACAGAACCACCAGUAAAAAGAAAUGAAAAGCAGGUCAAGACACCCUGUUCAGGAAAAUAAUUCCACAUUAAAUCAUAACACAUUUUUUUAAUACAAAUCAACUCAAGUGACAGUUGAGCCAAUGACAACCACACAUUUUCAAAUGUAAUUAAAUAUAUUGGAUUCAAUGUUUCAAAUACAGGUUGCAUGUUUAAAGGGCCAUUACCUCAAAAAUAUUUACCAUUAAUAUUUCCCCUUCUGUAAGAGUCUUAAUUCUACUGUUGGUGAACUGUGACACUGAAAACCUACUCAGAAGUUGACAAUAAUAACACAUGCUUCAGAAAACAAAGAAUUGAGUCAACCUCAAAAUCCUGCCAUUGUGUUCCUCUAGCUAAAAGACAACAAAGAGUACCAAACAAACAAUCAAAGAAAUAUAUAGGUUACAGCUUUUCCUUGCUUGUUGGUAAGAUCUUGGAAACAUUUACCUUUUUGUAUAGAAAAAGACUACUUGUUUCAAAAUAAAUUAUGCUGGAGUUCCCGUCGUGGCGCAGUGGUUAACGAAUCCGACUAGGAACCAUGAAGUUGCAGGUUCAGUCCCUGGCCUUGCUCAGCGGGUUAAGGAUCUGGCGUUGCUGUGAGCUGUGGUGUGGGUCAAAGACACGGCUCGGAUCCCGAGCUGCUGUGGCUGUGGUGUAGGCCGGUGGCUACAGCUCCAAUUAGACCCCUAGCCUGGGAACCUCCUUAUGUCGCGGGAGCAGCUCAAGAAAAGGCAAAAAGACAAAAAACGAAACAAAAAAAACAAAUUAUGCUUUGCAAGCAUAGGAAAUAACUAGCCAGAGGUAGGAGAAAAUAAGCAUUCUUCCCUCUUACUUUAUUUUAUGAUUACUAAAUUCUAGAAGAAAUCAAAGAUAACUCAGCAUACGCUAUGGCCUUGAGUAAGGAAAGACAAUCUGGACGCCGCACAAGAAGGAAGACUAAGUUAAAGGUACAAAACUGCAUUCUGGUCUUUGUCUUUAAAUGUAAUUGAUAAAAUCUGUUCCAUCAUUAUAAACAUAGAUGCUUUCUUUUUGUCUUUUGAGGGCUGAACCAGAAGCAUAUGGAAGCUCCCAGGCUAGGGGUCGAAUCGGUGCUGCAUACACCACAGCAACGCAGAAUCCAAGUCCUGUCUUCGACCUACACCACAGCUCACAACACCACCAGAUCCUGAACCCAUUGAGUGGGGCCAGAGAUCGAACCCACAUCCUCAUGGAGAGAGUUGGGUUUGUUACUGCUGAGCCACGACCCAACUUCCAUGGAUGAUAUUGUAACUACAAAUGUGUCGGCCCACGGAUCCAGUCUAGGUCUUCAUUAGAGCAUAUUUUAGAAGGACGUGCUCUAUGCCCAUCGUGCACUGAGGGAUGACAAAUGAACCUUUCUCAGACUACGCAGGGAGUAGCAUCAGGCGGAUCUAGUUUCAAUCUUUUGCUUUUAAAGCUAAAGAGGGUCAAGUUGGGAUACCAGGGGAGUGUUCUUAUGGCUCAGGAGGUUAAGCAACCAGUGUUAUCACUGCAGCUGCUGGGGUCGCUGCUUCGGCUCUGGUGCAAUCCCUGGCCUGGGAACUUCCACAUGCCUCAGGCAUAGCCAAAAAAACAAUAAAUAAAAUCAACUUUUCUGUGCAUACAUAUUUACAGGGAUCAUUUAAAGGAAAAGAAAAAAUAAAAUAAGCACUUUCCCAACGAGUUUCAGUAUGUUCAAAUUCUGGUAGAAAUAAAGAUGCGCACAAAACUCAGGCAGGAAGAAAGAAAAAGCCGUGAUGAUCACAAUCACAAUUUCAUAUUACUCCCAACUUGGACUCAUGGAAAGAAACUGUCUUAAGUCUAAAGACGUAAAAACAAAAUUUUUUUCCAUGAAAUAAAGAUAUAUCAUUUCUAUUCCAAAAUGGAAGUCUCAUCUUCCCUUAGAUUUUAAGUUAAUUGAGAAUACACCUAAAAAAAAUAAAUCAGGAGAAAACAGUAAAGUCCCACAAUUUCCAGCCAUAUCUAGGAGUGUGUCCCACUGCUAGGCAGUAAAACAGGGUUUGAAAUUACUUCAUACCAGUUAGAUUCCUUUCCAGAUUAAAACAAACACAAAAUAGGAAAUGUUAAUUGGCAGUAAGACUACGGAGCAAAACAUUUAGUGUUUUAUUUCUUAGAAUGGCAGGUCUCUAGCAAAUUUAUGGCUUUCAAAACUAAUAUAACCAAAAUGUACC